GACGAACGCUGGCGGCGUGCUUAACACAUGCAAGUCGAACGGAAUUGCCCUGCUUUUGUGGGGUGCUCGAGUGGCGAACGGGUGAGUCAUACGUGAGUAACCUGCAUUUGACUUUGGGAUUACUUCAGGAAACUGGGGCUCAUACUGGAUAGGAGCUUCUGCUGCAUUGUGGGGGAUGGAUAGUUUCGGCGGAUGGGGAUGGACUCGCGGCUUAUCAGCUUGUUGGUGGGGUAGUGGCUUACCAAGGCUUUGACGGGUAGCCGGCCUGAGAGGGUGACCGGCCACAUGGGGAAGACGACACGGCCAAGACGCCGACGGGAGGCAGCAGUGGUGAAUAUUGCACAAUGGGCGGAAGCCUGAUGCAGCAACGCCGCGUGCAGGAGUACGGCCCUCGGUUUGUAAACCGCUUACGCCUGUGACGAAGCGUGAGUGACGGUAAUGAGUAGAGAAGCAACGGGUAACUACGGG
RNAcentral lists this ribosomal RNA (468 nucleotides) under uncultured bacterium. RNAcentral's name for it is "partial 16S ribosomal RNA". It matches the Rfam family "Bacterial small subunit ribosomal RNA", at positions 28 to 507 of the family's 1533-position model. The record is from RNAcentral.